Saccostrea echinata is the source of this 251-nucleotide long non-coding RNA. RefSeq lists it as uncharacterized. The transcript has 3 exons. The record is from RefSeq and is a predicted model, not a curated record. NCBI's taxonomy places the organism in Eukaryota, Metazoa, Mollusca, Bivalvia, Ostreida, Ostreidae.
AGGUGAACACAAUGCAACAUACAUUGUAUCCCCUGUAGACGAUGGCGUGACAUUCACUAAAAUCAGACAUGGACAUCCCGUUAUUAAUGCAAGGGCAAAUUAUACUAAGACCUUGCAUUUCCAUGACUAUCUGGGUACAAUACACAGUGUUUUAAUUAAGGAAGAUUUUAAGUCUCCAAGAGCACAUCAGAGUUUUGAUCCACACGAAAAGAUGAGGAAAGUGAAGUCAGAGAAUGAUUUCAGCAACAUAG